GUCAAUGUAGGGUAGUGGUUAGAGUACUAGACUACCACUCUGGAGACCAGAGUUCAAAUCCCAGCACAGCCA
Molecule: non-coding RNA, 72 nt
Organism: Phrynosoma platyrhinos (Desert horned lizard)
Lineage: Eukaryota; Metazoa; Chordata; Lepidosauria; Squamata; Phrynosomatidae
Source: the annotation of a GenBank genome assembly